UGCACAGUGGCACAGUUGGUAGCACCGUUGACCUAAAAAUGUCCUGGGUUCGAUUCCCAGCCGGGAAUUACUGCAU
This is a non-coding RNA of Characodon lateralis, 76 nucleotides long. The record is from the annotation of a GenBank genome assembly. Lineage: Eukaryota; Metazoa; Chordata; Actinopteri; Cyprinodontiformes; Goodeidae.